AAUUCUCAACCUCACCCAUUUUGUCAUGAAGUGGUUCGUGUAGGCUUGGAUGUGGGGGCUUGCAGGUCCGACCCUUCUGGGUUGGUCUGCUCCUCUGAAAUGCAUUAGUGGGUUGUGCCCCUAAUCUAUUGGUGUGAUAAUUAUCUACGCCGUGGAUCAGGAUUGGCGAUCAAUGACCUGCUGAUAACCGUCCGUCUCGGACAGCUUUGACAU
This 213-nucleotide unclassified non-coding RNA is filed under the name Coprinopsis brunneofibrillosa. RNAcentral describes it as "partial internal transcribed spacer 2". Lineage: Eukaryota; Fungi; Basidiomycota; Agaricomycetes; Agaricales; Psathyrellaceae. The record is from RNAcentral.